AAUAGAUACCCCGGUAGUCCACGCCGUAAACGAUGAGAACUAGGUGUCGUGGGUGUUGACCCCCGCGGUGCCGUAGCUAACGCAUUAAGUGCCCCGCCUGGGGAGUACGGCCGCAAGGCUGAAACUCAAAGGAAAUUGACGGGGGCCCGCACAAGCGGUGGAGCAUGUGGUUUAAUUCGACGCAACGCGAAGAACCUUACCUAGGCUUGACAUGCACGGAAAUCUCGCAGAGAUGCGGGGUCCGUAAGGGCCGUGCACAGGUGGUGCAUGGUUGUCGUCAGCUCGUGUCGUGAGAUGUUGGGUUAAGUCCCGCAACGAGCGCAACCCACGUUUUUAGUUGCCAUCAUUUAGUUGGGCACUCUAGAGAGACUGCCGGUGACAAACCGGAGGAAGGUGUGGAUGACGUCAAGUCAGCAUGCCCCUUACGCUCUGGGCUACACACGUACUACAAUGCUUCGGACAAAGGGCAGCAAGCGCGCGAGUGCAAGCCAAUCCCAUAAAACCGAGGCUCAGUUCAGAUUGCAGG
This 526-nucleotide ribosomal RNA is filed under the name uncultured bacterium. RNAcentral describes it as "bacterial SSU rRNA". It matches the Rfam family "Bacterial small subunit ribosomal RNA", at positions 777 to 1304 of the family's 1533-position model. The record is from RNAcentral.